Non-coding RNA from Maylandia zebra (zebra mbuna), 662 nucleotides. NCBI's taxonomy places the organism in Eukaryota, Metazoa, Chordata, Actinopteri, Cichliformes, Cichlidae. The record is from RefSeq and is a predicted model, not a curated record.
CACUUUCCUCACAACCCCCUCCUGUAAGUUUUAGAGAAUAUAUACCCAUCCUCACAGCAAAUCUUGGGAAUCUCCUGAUGUGAGCUGUGUUGAGAGGUUGUCUCUGUCUCAAUAAAAGUUCACUGAUUCCCCAUCUGCCGCAGGUGUCCGGUUGUCUUCAUUCUCCGCCAGCCUGGAUCCGCUCCAGGUCAACUGGAACGGAUGGGAGGACAUCGGCCGUGGUCUGAGUGAACGGAGUUUGGACAAAAGCUGUGUGCACACAAAAACAAGGUAAGCAGACCUUUUAUUUCUGCUAUAUUGAACAUUAUAAAAAUACUUAGUGUCCAAACUCCUAGUAAUUCAUAACCAAAAUUGUCUGGCUUACUUAAGGCUUGUUGAGAAUCAGACAAGUGAAUAAGAGAUAAGUGAAUAAGAAAUAAGUGAAUAAGUGAAUAAAGAUAAGAGUGAACUGAGGUCUGACCACGGUUGCAGCCGACGGGUUGCUCUCCGGUGUCGGAUACAUACCUCAGUGCAGGUCUGGGACCUUGAAAGGGUUUAUUAGUAACGCCUUUCUAAACAAAUUAAAAGGUUAAAGGCCUUGAGAAUAUUUUUUAGUAAUAUUCUCUAAACUACAGAAGGGUUAGGAAGGCCCAGAGGACUUUAUUAGAAAAGAUCCUCUAAAA